This 94-nucleotide microRNA precursor is filed under the name Marmota monax (woodchuck). The record is from RNAcentral. Lineage: Eukaryota; Metazoa; Chordata; Mammalia; Rodentia; Sciuridae.
AGUAGAAUUGCAGGGUCAUAUGGUAAUUAUUUUACUUUUUCUGGAAUAAAUUGUUUUCCAUAGUGGCUGCACCAUUUUACCUUCUACCAGCAAU